Molecule: transfer RNA, 76 nt
Filed under: Syntrophobacter sp. DG_60
Lineage: Bacteria; Pseudomonadati; Thermodesulfobacteriota; Syntrophobacteria; Syntrophobacterales; Syntrophobacteraceae
Description: tRNA-Ala
Rfam family: tRNA
About the family: Transfer RNA (tRNA) molecules are approximately 80 nucleotides in length.
Source: RNAcentral
GGGGCUGUAGCUCAGUUGGGAGAGCGCUUGAAUGGCAUUCAAGAGGUCAGGGGUUCAACUCCCCUCAGCUCCACCA